This 684-nucleotide ribosomal RNA is filed under the name Glutamicibacter sp. RNAcentral's name for it is "bacterial SSU rRNA". It matches the Rfam family "Bacterial small subunit ribosomal RNA", at positions 38 to 735 of the family's 1533-position model. Lineage: Bacteria; Bacillati; Actinomycetota; Actinomycetes; Micrococcales; Micrococcaceae. The record is from RNAcentral.
GGCGGCGUGCUUAACACAUGCAAGUCGAACGAUGAAGCCCAGCUUGCUGGGUGGAUUAGUGGCGAACGGGUGAGUAACACGUGAGUAACCUGCCCCCGACUCUGGGAUAAGCCCGGGAAACUGGGUCUAAUACCGGAUAUUACCUCUUGCCGCAUGGCAGGUGGUGGAAAGAUUUAUCGGUGGGGGAUGGACUCGCGGCCUAUCAGCUUGUUGGUGAGGUAAUGGCUCACCAAGGCGACGACGGGUAGCCGGCCUGAGAGGGUGACCGGCCACACUGGGACUGAGACACGGCCCAGACUCCUACGGGAGGCAGCAGUGGGGAAUAUUGCACAAUGGGCGAAAGCCUGAUGCAGCGACGCCGCGUGAGGGAUGACGGCCUUCGGGUUGUAAACCUCUUUCAGUAGGGAAGAAGCGAAAGUGACGGUACCUGCAGAAGAAGCGCCGGCUAACUACGUGCCAGCAGCCGCGGUAAUACGUAGGGCGCAAGCGUUAUCCGGAUUUAUUGGGCGUAAAGAGCUCGUAGGCGGUUUGUCGCGUCUGCCGUGAAAGUCCGAGGCUCAACCUCGGAUCUGCGGUGGGUACGGGCAGACUAGAGUGAUGUAGGGGAGACUGGAAUUCCUGGUGUAGCGGUGAAAUGCGCAGAUAUCAGGAGGAACACCGAUGGCGAAGGCAGGUCUCUGGGCA